AGUGGUAUAACUGGGUCAAAGGUGGUUCUGUUCCUAGUUUUCUGAGGAAUAUCCAUACUACUUUCCAGAUUGGUUGCACCAAUUUGCAGUCUCAUCAGCAAU
This 102-nucleotide microRNA precursor is filed under the name Marmota monax (woodchuck). The record is from RNAcentral. Lineage: Eukaryota; Metazoa; Chordata; Mammalia; Rodentia; Sciuridae.